GCUCAGGACGAACGCUGGCGGCGUGCUUAACACAUGCAAGUCGAACGGUAAGGCCCCUUCGGGGGUACACGAGUGGCGAACGGGUGAGUAACACGUGGGUAAUCUGCCCUGCACUUCGGGAUAAGCCUGGGAAACUGGGUCUAAUACCGGAUAUGAACUCCUGCCGCAUGGUGGGGGUUGGAAAGUUUUUCGGUGCAGGAUGAGCCCGCGGCCUAUCAGCUUGUUGGUGGGGUAAUGGCCUACCAAGGCGACGACGGGUAGCCGGCCUGAGAGGGUGAUCGGCCACACUGGGACUGAGACACGGCCCAGACUCCUACGGGAGGCAGCAGUGGGGAAUAUUGCACAAUGGGCGAAAGCCUGAUGCAGCGACGCCGCGUGGGGGAUGACGGUCUUCGGAUUGUAAACCCCUUUCAGUAGGGACGAAGCGCAAGUGACGGUACCUGCAGAAGAAGCACCGGCUAACUACGUGCCAGCAGCCGCGGUAAUACGUAGGGUGCGAGCGUUGUCCGGAAUUACUGGGCGUAAAGAGCUCGUAGGCGGUUUGUCACGUCGUCUGUGAAAUCCCUCGGCUUAACCGGGGGCGUGCAGGCGAUACGGGCAGACUUGAGUACUACAGGGGAGACUGGAAUUCCUGGUGUAGCGGUGAAAUGCGCAGAUAUCAGGAGGAACACCGGUGGCGAAGGCGGGUCUCUGGGUAGUAACUGACGCUGAGAG
Molecule: ribosomal RNA, 714 nt
Filed under: Dietzia sp. VN1-3
Lineage: Bacteria; Bacillati; Actinomycetota; Actinomycetes; Mycobacteriales; Dietziaceae
Description: bacterial SSU rRNA
Rfam family: Bacterial small subunit ribosomal RNA
Source: RNAcentral